GUUUCUUGUAAUUCUGUUCUAUUUCUCUAUUUUAGGGGAAAACACUUCUUUCCCACAUCAGAUGUUUCUUAAAGUAUGGAGGGGGUGCCACUAACAUAACACUCGAUACCUCAUUCCAGCGCUUCUAACAAGUUUCCUGAUGUGGCAUUCUGGGAACAACACCUACCCUUUACCAGUGGCCCCACGAGAUUCCACAAAAGAGCUGAAAUCAGUAUUGAAGUGGCCUUAUGAAGAUGGGAGCAGGACUACACUAACUGACUGCUGACUUCUUAGCCAAGGGGGAUAACCAUGUCCUAAGGUGAUCUCAGUGGGACCCACACUGUGGUUGUAAGUGGACAGGGUGGUGUUCAUGGAGUUGAUACAAACAACACAGGAUCUGGCAUCGGACAUCCUGCACAUAAAACCCGCCUUACCAUAUAUUAAUGGAGUGACUUGGUGAAGCUAUUUAACUUCCUUCAGCUUCAGUUUCUUCAUUUGUAAAAUAGGAAUGUAAAAAACCCAUCUUCCCCAGAGAUUGCACAUGAAGAUGAAGUGAGGUAAGGUUGAAAUCAUCAACCUUAAGGGUUGGGUGCUAGGAGCUUACAGUUAUGAUGUUUCUCCUCACUGGGGAAUUCACAUGUACAUCAAAGUGUGAGAACUUAUGGUCCAGGAUAUGUCUACUUUCUCAUCUGAGUCUCUGGAAUGUCCUAUAGGUUCUAUAACCAAGAAUAAAACCACAGUGCUUAUUUAAAGGGAGAAUAGGGGAAGUCUUUUGGGCCACUGAGGGGAUCAAAUCACUACAGGAAUUUUAAGUGGCCUUAGGCGUGGCCCUUGGAACUGCUCCUGAUUCCCUUCUUGAGCUGCCAUAAGCCACUGA
This 856-nucleotide long non-coding RNA is filed under the name Delphinapterus leucas (beluga whale). Its description in RNAcentral is "lncRNA (ENSDLEG00000018714.1)". The record is from RNAcentral. Lineage: Eukaryota; Metazoa; Chordata; Mammalia; Artiodactyla; Monodontidae.